RNAcentral lists this ribosomal RNA (1582 nucleotides) under metagenome. Its description in RNAcentral is "bacterial LSU rRNA". It matches the Rfam family "Bacterial large subunit ribosomal RNA", at positions 1361 to 2925 of the family's 2925-position model. The record is from RNAcentral.
AACGUUAAUCGACGCAGGGUUAGUCGGUUCCUAAGGCGAGGCUGAAAAGCGUAGUCGAUGGGAAACAGGUUAAUAUUCCUGUACUUCUGGUUACUGCGAUGGAGGGACGGAGAAGGCUAGGCCAGCUUGGCGUUGGUUGUCCAAGUUUAAGGUGGUAGGCUGAAAUCUUAGGUAAAUCCGGGGUUUCAAGGCCGAGAGCUGAUGACGAGUCGUCUUUUAGAUGACGAAGUGGUUGAUGCCAUGCUUCCAAGAAAGGCUUCUAAGCUUCAGGUAACCAGGAACCGUACCCCAAACCGACACAGGUGGUCGGGUAGAGAAUACCAAGGCGCUUGAGAGAACUCGGGUGAAGGAACUAGGCAAAAUGGCACCGUAACUUCGGGAGAAGGUGCGCCGGCUAGGGUGAAGGAUUUACUCCGUAAGCUCUGGCUGGUCGAAGAUACCAGGCCGCUGCGACUGUUUAUUAAAAACACAGCACUCUGCAAACACGAAAGUGGACGUAUAGGGUGUGACGCCUCCCCGGUGCCGGAAGGUUAAUUGAUGGGGUUAGCGCAAGCGAAGCUCUUGAUCGAAGCCCCGGUAAACGGCGGCCGUAACAAUAACGGUCCUAAGGUAGCGAAAUUCCUUGUCGGGUAAGUUCCGACCUGCACGAAUGGCGUAACGAUGGCGGCGCUGUCUCCACCCGAGACUCAGUGAAAUUGAAAUCGCUGUGAAGAUGCAGUGUAUCCGCGGCUAGACGGAAAGACCCCGUGAACCUUUACUGUAGCUUUGCACUGGACUUUGAGCCUGCUUGUGUAGGAUAGGUGGGAGGCUUUGAAGCGUGGACGCCAGUUCGCGUGGAGCCAUCCUUGAAAUACCACCCUGGCAUGCUUGAGGUUCUAACUCUGGUCCGUAAUCCGGAUCGAGGACAGUGUAUGGUGGGCAGUUUGACUGGGGCGGUCUCCUCCUAAAGAGUAACGGAGGAGUACAAAGGUGCGCUCAGACCGGUCGGAAAUCGGUCGCAGAGUAUAAAGGCAAAAGCGCGCUUGACUGCGAGACAGACACGUCGAGCAGGUACGAAAGUAGGUCUUAGUGAUCCGGUGGUUCUGUAUGGAAGGGCCAUCGCUCAACGGAUAAAAGGUACUCCGGGGAUAACAGGCUGAUACCGCCCAAGAGUUCAUAUCGACGGCGGUGUUUGGCACCUCGAUGUCGGCUCAUCACAUCCUGGGGCUGAAGCCGGUCCCAAGGGUAUGGCUGUUCGCCAUUUAAAGUGGUACGCGAGCUGGGUUUAGAACGUCGUGAGACAGUUCGGCCCCUAUCUGCCGUGGACGUUUGAGAUUUGAGAGGGGCUGCUCCUAGUACGAGAGGACCGGAGUGGACGAACCUCUGGUGUUCCGGUUGUCACGCCAGUGGCAUUGCCGGGUAGCUAUGUUCGGAAAAGAUAACCGCUGAAAGCAUCUAAGCGGGAAACUUGCCUCAAGAUGAGAUCUCACUGGGAACUUGAUUCCCCUGAAGGGCCGUCGAAGACUACGACGUUGAUAGGCUGGGUGUGUAAGCGUUGUGAGGCGUUGAGCUAACCAGUACUAAUUGCCCGUGAGGCUUGAUC